This is a long non-coding RNA of Amblyraja radiata (thorny skate), 65 nucleotides long. RefSeq lists it as uncharacterized. The record is from RefSeq and is a predicted model, not a curated record. Lineage: Eukaryota; Metazoa; Chordata; Chondrichthyes; Rajiformes; Rajidae. The transcript is spliced from 3 exons.
AAAUCAUGGCUGGCAACAGAUGAUCUCAGGCAAUGGGGUUCCCUGAUAGGCAGAUUGAUGGUCAA